UACUGGCAGGAUCAACCAGGCAACGAUAAAGAACAAAUACCCUCUUCUGCGGAUCGACGAGCUCUUCGACCAGCUUCAGGGUGCGCAACACUUUUCGAAGAUCGAUCUGAGAUCGGGUUAUCAUCAGCUUCAGGUCAGAGAGCAAGAUAUACAGAAGACAGCUAUUUGGACACGCUACGGCCAUUAUGAGUUCCUAGUCAUGCCGUUCGGUCUGACGAACACACCAGCAGUGUUCAUGGCCCUGAUGAACAAGAUCUUCUCACCAUAUCUGGACUGUUUUACCGUGGUCUUCAUCUACGAUGUACUAGUCUACUCAAAGUCGAGGGAGGAGCACGAACAACGCUUGAGGACAUCAUUGCAGUUACUACGCGACAAUCAGUUGUACGCGAAGCUCAGCA
This 398-nucleotide unclassified non-coding RNA is filed under the name Phoebe excelsa. Its description in RNAcentral is "partial miscellaneous RNA". The record is from RNAcentral. Lineage: Eukaryota; Viridiplantae; Streptophyta; Magnoliopsida; Laurales; Lauraceae.